CUGACAAGCCACUGCUGCUCGGCACCCUGGCGGACUGACCGCACUAGCCAAGCCGCGGAUCCCCAGCUGCUCACCAGCAUGACCACACAACGGAGCAGCUGCCGCAACUGCGUCGGAUCUCCAGCCCAAGCUGCACGACCUAAGCCUGAAGUUCACCUUACGGGGAGAGCAGAAAGGAAAUGAACACGGUGUUUAAAAAGCCUGGCAGAGGAAGCUGCAACAUUUUCGAGACACCUGCAAAUCGGUCUGGCAUCCUUCUGAAACGCUUGCGUCAAGGCCUUCAUCAAGAAAUCGCAUCUUUGUAUUUUCUAUUGUUCACGGCCCCGUUGCCAGUUUUCCCCUUGCAAUGGGAACUUCUUUGUGCUAGGGAAAACAGCAAUAAUUUUCCUUUGUUGUCGUUGUUGGAAACAGGGCUGGCAAUCUCCAGCAGCCCUUAGGCAAGGAAGCGUAUUCCCUGCACAUCAG
Long non-coding RNA from Pogoniulus pusillus (Red-fronted tinkerbird), 465 nucleotides. RefSeq lists it as uncharacterized. The record is from RefSeq and is a predicted model, not a curated record. NCBI's taxonomy places the organism in Eukaryota, Metazoa, Chordata, Aves, Piciformes, Lybiidae. The transcript is spliced from 2 exons.